AAGAUAGUGAUUCAUCAAUCUGUGUGUAUUUUGCUUAAAAUGUGAAAUGUGCACUCAUGCUGCGCCCCCCCCCCCCCAACCCUCACAAUAGGUCACUUUGGCUUACCCUUGUAGUGUGGAGAAAUGUGUAUGUUGAGUUUGUGCUCCAGUACAGUUUUGAUUCACCCUACUAAUUGGUAACUAAUUUGUUGUUUGGCAUUCCCCUGAGAUUCUUAUGCUGUACAUUUUUUUGCAAACUUUUUGAUCCCAACUAGCUAAUGGUUGCUUUAUUUCAGGACCAGUCAGGUACCUCCUUUUGCUCUCUGAUUAUGUUUUCCUUUCAAUAUUUGCCAUACAUGUGAAUCGCUAAUUAGUAUGGUCAGAGAAACCUAAAUAUUUUAACAAUUUCAGGCAACUGUGCAUUAUUUUCUUUUGACGAUGACAGUUACAUGGUGCAAACAAUGAGAAAAAAACACCCUCUAUCAAUUGAUAUUCAGCAGUAUGUACUCUUAGAAGCUUCACUUCCCCAUGCUAUCCUCGAUUACAUAAUGAUUGAUGAAUACUGGAACGUUGACCGAGAGAUUCAGCAUGAAGAGCUUUAGCUUGAAUUAGCAUGGAUCAAGGUGGCUGAUAUCUUGCAUUAGAGAUGUAUCUGCCUAGACCAGCUUCCUGUCCGAAUGUAGGAUGCGUAAAUAGAAGAGGAAGCAUCUUCCAUUUGAAUUAGGAUUACCAAAGGAAGUGUGUUGAUAAUUUUAUUUGACAUUAUAGGUUUCAUGUUGCACCCUUUGGGCGGCUAAAUGGAUAGGCCAAUGCUUUCUCUGAAGCCUGAGAUAGCCUUUCUUGUGUGCCACAAGAUGUAACAGACAAUAACAAUAUUUUAGUUUGAGCUAGAUUACUAAAGGUGACAUACAUAAUUUAAGCACAAGAGCCACGAGGAUUCAGUUCU
This is a long non-coding RNA of Setaria italica (foxtail millet), 925 nucleotides long. RefSeq lists it as uncharacterized. Lineage: Eukaryota; Viridiplantae; Streptophyta; Magnoliopsida; Poales; Poaceae. The record is from RefSeq and is a predicted model, not a curated record. The transcript has 2 exons.